RNAcentral lists this ribosomal RNA (606 nucleotides) under uncultured bacterium. RNAcentral describes it as "bacterial SSU rRNA". It matches the Rfam family "Bacterial small subunit ribosomal RNA", at positions 338 to 955 of the family's 1533-position model. The record is from RNAcentral.
CCUACGGGAGGCAGCAGUGGGGAAUAUUGCACAAUGGGCGCAAGCCUGAUGCAGCAACGCCGCGUGAGGGACGACGGCCUUCGGGUUGUAAACCUCUUUUAGUAGGGAAGAAGCGAAAGUGACGGUACCUGCAGAAAAAGCACCGGCUAACUACGUGCCAGCAGCCGCGGUAAUACGUAGGGUGCAAGCGUUAUCCGGAAUUAUUGGGCGUAAAGAGCUCGUAGGCGGUUUGUCGCGUCUGCUGUGAAAACUGGAGGCUCAACCUCCAGCCUGCAGUGGGUACGGGCAGACUAGAGUGCGGUAGGGGAGAUUGGAAUUCCUGGUGUAGCGGUGGAAUGCGCAGAUAUCAGGAGGAACACCGAUGGCGAAGGCAGAUCUCUGGGCCGUAACUGACGCUGAGGAGCGAAAGCAUGGGGAGCGAACAGGAUUAGAUACCCUGGUAGUCCAUGCCGUAAACGUUGGGAACUAGAUGUAGGGACCAUUCCACGGUUUCUGUGUCGCAGCUAACGCAUUAAGUUCCCCGCCUGGGGAUACGGCCGCAAGGCUAAAACUCAAAAGNGUAAGUCGGACGUGAGAGACGCGACGACGACGACGACGGAGGAGGAG